GACGAACGCUGGCGGCGUGCUUAACACAUGCAAGUCGAACGGACCCUUUGGGGUUAGUGGCGAACGGGUGAGUAACACGUGGGUGAUCUGCCCUGCACUUUGGGAUAAGCCUGGGAAACUGGGUCUAAUACCGGAUAGGACUACGCACUGCAUGGUGUGUGGUGGAAAGCUUUUGCGGUGUGGGAUGGGCCCGCGGCCUAUCAGCUUGUUGGUGGGGUGAUGGCCUACCAAGGCGACGACGGGUAGCCGGCCUGAGAGGGUGACCGGCCAAACUGGGAGUGGGAUACGGCCCAGACUCCUACGGGAGGCAGCAGUGGGGAAUAUUGCACAAUGGGCGCAAGCCUGAUGCAGCGACGCCGCGUGAGGGAUGACGGCCUUCGGGUUGUAAACCUCUUUCGCCAGGGACGAAGCGCAAGUGACGGUACCUGGAGAAGAAGGACCGGCCAACUACGUGCCAGCCGCCGCCGUAA
This 470-nucleotide ribosomal RNA is filed under the name uncultured bacterium. RNAcentral describes it as "partial 16S ribosomal RNA". It matches the Rfam family "Bacterial small subunit ribosomal RNA", at positions 28 to 523 of the family's 1533-position model. The record is from RNAcentral.